This 571-nucleotide ribosomal RNA is filed under the name Hanseniaspora uvarum. RNAcentral describes it as "LSU rRNA". It matches the Rfam family "Eukaryotic large subunit ribosomal RNA", at positions 80 to 667 of the family's 3401-position model. Lineage: Eukaryota; Fungi; Ascomycota; Saccharomycetes; Saccharomycodales; Saccharomycodaceae. The record is from RNAcentral.
UUAGUACGGCGAGUGAAGCGGUAAAAGCUCAAAUUUGAAAUCUGGUACUUUCAGUGCCGAGGAAGGUUUGUAGAAUUUGUCUUUGAUUAGGUCCUUGUCUAUGUUCCUUGGAACAGGACGUCAUAGAGGGUGAGAAUCCCGUUUGGCGAGGAUACCUUUUCUCUGUAAGACUUUUUCGAAGAGUCGAGUUGUUUGGGAAUGCAGCUCAAAGUGGGUGGUAAAUUCCAUCUAAAGCUAAAUAUUGGCGAGAGACCGAUAGCGAACAAGUACAGUGAUGGAAAGAUGAAAAGAACUUUGAAAAGAGAGUGAAAAAGUACGUGAAAUUGUUGAAAGGGAAGGGCAUUUGAUCAGACAUGGUGUUUUUUGCAUGCACUCGCCUCUCGUGGGCUUGGGCCUCUCAAAAAUUUCACUGGGCCAACAUCAAUUCUGGCAGCAGGAUAAAUCAUUAAGAAUGUAGCUACUUCGGUAGUGUUAUAGCUUUUUGGAAUACUGUUAGCCGGGAUUGAGGACUGCGCUUCGGCAAGGAUGUUGGCAUAAUGGUUAAAUGCCGCCCGUCUUGAACCAACGGACC